GAUGAACGCUGGCGGCGUGCUUAACACAUGCAAGUCGAACGAAGCGUAUUCAAGUGAAGUUUUCGGACAAAGCGAGGAUAUGACUUAGUGGCGGACGGGUGAGUAACGCGUGGGCAACCUGCCUUUCACAGCGGGAUAACAGAGGGAAGCUUCUGCUAAUACCGCAUAUACCUUUAUAACGCAUGUUAGGGAGGGGAAAGAAUUAUCGGUGAGAGAUGGGCCCGCGUCCG
This 230-nucleotide ribosomal RNA is filed under the name uncultured Lachnospiraceae bacterium. RNAcentral describes it as "partial 16S ribosomal RNA". It matches the Rfam family "Bacterial small subunit ribosomal RNA", at positions 28 to 239 of the family's 1533-position model. Lineage: Bacteria; Bacillati; Bacillota; Clostridia; Lachnospirales; Lachnospiraceae. The record is from RNAcentral.